RNAcentral lists this ribosomal RNA (235 nucleotides) under Klebsiella pneumoniae. Its description in RNAcentral is "partial 16S ribosomal RNA". It matches the Rfam family "Bacterial small subunit ribosomal RNA", at positions 507 to 741 of the family's 1533-position model. Lineage: Bacteria; Pseudomonadati; Pseudomonadota; Gammaproteobacteria; Enterobacterales; Enterobacteriaceae. The record is from RNAcentral.
GCCAGCAGCCGCGGUUAUUCGGAGGGUGGAAGCGUUAAUCGGAAUUUCUGGGCGUAAAGCGGACGCUGGCGGUCUGUCAAGUCGGUUGUGAAAUCCCCGGGCUCAACCUUGGAACUGCAUUCGAAACUGGCAGGCUAGAGUCUUUUAGAGUUGGGUAGAAUUCCAGGUGUAGCGGUGAAAUGCGUAGAGAUCUGGAGGAAUAGCGGUGGCGUAGGCGGCCCCCUGGACAAAGACU